AUGUCCCACCCGUACACUGCGGUCUGGGCGCAUCGUCCGCAGCCACCGGGCGACCACUCGCUACGUUUUGCUAGCC
This 76-nucleotide small RNA is filed under the name Xanthomonas axonopodis. RNAcentral's name for it is "sX9". It matches the Rfam family "Xanthomonas sRNA sX9". RNAcentral also lists the same sequence under 1 other name. The record is from RNAcentral. Lineage: Bacteria; Pseudomonadati; Pseudomonadota; Gammaproteobacteria; Lysobacterales; Lysobacteraceae.